Long non-coding RNA from Cajanus cajan (pigeon pea), 1548 nucleotides. RefSeq lists it as uncharacterized. The record is from RefSeq and is a predicted model, not a curated record. NCBI's taxonomy places the organism in Eukaryota, Viridiplantae, Streptophyta, Magnoliopsida, Fabales, Fabaceae.
UCAAAAUUGUGCGUGAAAAUUGAAGCCGCCCAAAUCCAAAAAUCCCUUUCCUUUGAAAGCUCCCACAUCCCAAAUCUCUAUUCACUCAAUGAUACAAAGGGCAAGAGCUACACCAAAUUUAGAGGGGGGAACCUUUCAUUCUCGCGGCGCUACAAGGCUCUUGACCACAACAUAGGGGUUGGGUGGAGGAGAUGUAGAGAUUUAAUGGACCUUGCAGAAAUGAAAUAUAAAACACUACUUUUUGUUCACAACUUCACAGAUAACAGAUAGAGGUAGAGGUGGUGGCUGCAAAGCACCCCGUGAUAGAGGUCAAGGUGGUUUUGGGAGAGCUCGAACCACCAAUAACACUCGUACUACUCCCCCUCACAUUUCUAUUUCAGAGUCAAUAGUACCCACCCAAAAAAACCCACUUCCUACGGUUCAAGAAGAACCAAUUCUCACCUUUGUAGGGGAAUCAAUUCAUAAUACACCUACUUCAAGGGACACACCUUCAACACAAGAUGCUUCAUUCACGCCAAAAUACCCACCUCCUCCUCACCUUGUCAAGUCCAGGGAUUCAUCUGACUAGAGGAUUUGGUUGUCUUUGAAAGGCAAAAAAUUUGUUCCUGCAAAGGGCCCUACUGAUGUCAUCUCAGGGAUCUUCAAGCAAAAAUUUGAGGGAGCAUGGCACACUUGGAAGGUUGUAGAUGAAUCAGUUUGAAAUAAGUGGUUUGAAGAGUUUUAGAAAGAGUAUAAGUGAGAUCCACAACAUGAGCGGGCUAUAAGAAUGGAUUUUUGAGCACAAGGGGUCAACGAUCUUUUGAAAAAUGCUAUGCAUAAGGUCAGCAGAUAAGGAGAGUUGGAUCCCUGACAAUUUUAGGGAAAUUUUAGACCAACAUUAGGCUUCUGAAAAGUUCUAAAAUAAAAGCAACACCGCCAAGGAAAAUCGAGCUGUUGAGAAUGGAGCAACAACCUACACUAGUGGCUCCAUGGAGCUCACUUUGAGAAGUUGACUAAGGAGCUUUGUCGACCCCCUACUGCAUGAGACUUGGUAGAAAAGACAAAGAAGUUGAAGACUAGAGAAUGGGUCAAUGAAAAAGUUCGUGACAUUGUUGUUGUUAAGAAGGAUGUGAAGGAAAACUUGUAUGGGCUUGCUGGAUUGGCCGAUGACUUCAUCCACUCCACACGUCCCCAUUCUUCUAUGUCCCGAGCAUCACUAAUCACUGCAGGAGUGAUAGAGGAAAUGCAAAAUAGGAUAGCUAAAUUAAAUGUUGAGCUUACUGCAAAGGAAGCAAAGGAAAAACAUUUGGAAGAGCAUAUACGACAACAUGAUGAGUAGAUGCAAUAUAUUCUACGACACCUCCGGAUCGAGCCUUUAAGGCCAACCUCUCCUCUACCAAGUACUACUGUAGAUGAUCUUGAACACAAUGUUGACGAUGCUCUUAAGGAUAUAAUAGAAGACCUUUGAUUAUGCUCUUUUAAUUUACUUGUUAUAGCUUUUGUGGUUGUAUUUCAGAUUUACUUUGUUGAUGUUCUAACUUUUUAUGUUAUCGUUAUGUUUUUAGUACA